RNAcentral lists this transfer RNA (58 nucleotides) under Cyathodium cavernarum. RNAcentral describes it as "tRNA-His". The record is from RNAcentral. Lineage: Eukaryota; Viridiplantae; Streptophyta; Marchantiopsida; Marchantiales; Cyathodiaceae.
GGGCGGACGUAGCCAAGUGGCUUAAGGCAGUGGAUUGUGGAUCCUCUAUGCGCCGGUU